UGGGGAAUAUUGCACAAUGGAGGGAACUCUGAUGCAGCGACGCCGCGUGAGUGAUGAAGGAAUUCGUUUCGUAAAACUCUGUUCUAUGGGAAGAAAAGGACUGUACCAUAGGAGAAAGCUCCGGCUAAAUACGUGCCAGCAGCCGCGGUAAUACGUAUGGAGCGAGCGUUGUCCGGAAUUAUUGGGCGUAAAGGGUGCGCAGGCGGCUUUACAAGUUGGAUGUGAAAUAUUGUGGCUCAACCACAAACGUGCAUCCAAAACUGCAAAGCUUGAGUUAAGGAGAGGUAAGUGGAAUUCCUGGUGUAGCGGUGGAAUGCGUAGAUAUCAGGAGGAAUACCGGUGGCGAAGGCGACUUACUGGACUUAAACUGACGCUCAGGCACGAAAGCGUGGGGAGCAAACAG
Molecule: ribosomal RNA, 403 nt
Filed under: Bacteroidota bacterium
Lineage: Bacteria; Pseudomonadati; Bacteroidota
Also listed under: 1 other name
Description: Bacteroidetes bacterium partial 16S ribosomal RNA
Rfam family: Bacterial small subunit ribosomal RNA
Source: RNAcentral